GAAUUAUUAAAUGGGAUCAAAAUUAGGUAGUUUUCAUUGAGUUCAAGCCAGCUGAACUUUGAAACAACUUAAUCAACUUAAGCCAAGUAUCAGAAAUCAAAUUUCGUGCUACAAAAGGAUUAGACUUGUUUCUCUCUCUGAGUUCAACUCUCAUAAUUCAAA
This 162-nucleotide transfer RNA is filed under the name Belgica antarctica. RNAcentral describes it as "tRNA IU25_tRNA_35". The record is from RNAcentral. Lineage: Eukaryota; Metazoa; Arthropoda; Insecta; Diptera; Chironomidae.